GGCAGUGACAGUUCCAGCAGAGUUUCCAGGCACUAGCUUGAGCUGCAAAUCAAUUUUCCCAAAUAAGUAUUGGUUCUUUGAUUUGAAGCCUGAACCAGAGGUUUUAUCAAGAGACAACGUAAGGAGUUGGCCAUCGCUCAGGAUUUUUGCACGCCCAUCUCCCCAUGUAAUGUCAAAAUCUUGGUUGAAGUUUCCAGCAGAAGCUGCCACUAAUAACACACCCACAAGCAUAAUUAUUCUAAUAGUUGAUUUGAGACUACUUGAGAAAGUCAUGAUUUGGUUGGAGAAAAAAUGGAUAACUUAUGAAGGAGAGAA
RNAcentral lists this unclassified non-coding RNA (315 nucleotides) under Hevea brasiliensis (rubber tree). The record is from RNAcentral. Lineage: Eukaryota; Viridiplantae; Streptophyta; Magnoliopsida; Malpighiales; Euphorbiaceae.